CAGUCCUGCAUUAGACACUGUGAUUCAGCCAUGAACUAGAAGGCAAAGUUCUGGCCAACAGAAAGCUCACAUUCCAGGACUGCAGUCUUUCCUUAGUCACAGAGGCGUCCAUGUCCUCAGUCUGCCCACUAUGCACCUAUUAACUCAUCAGAUCUGCAUCUCUAGAUUCAUCUCCUCUAUGCCAGGUAUUAUACCAGUCAACACUUUAUGUAUUUCAUCCUCAUGACAACUCCACAUGCUCCAUGGGAGCUUAAAAGCCAACAUCCUACAAUCAUGAUGAAAACCGGCAGCCUGGCAGUCAGUGGAGAGGGCAGAAUGAGGUUGGAGCACCUUCAAAGCCUCAUUCGUGAGAAUUUUCAUUAUGCGACCUGCUGGUGGAUUCUGGAAUACCAAUUAUUUAGCUGGACUCAGACAUCUGCUGUACAACAUUGUGUUUAUGGUUAACAAUGUAUAUUGUACACUUAAAAAUUUGUUAAGAGAGUAGAUCUCAUGUUAUGUGUUUUUUACCACAACAAAAAAGCACUCAGAUUAGAAAGGAAGAAGCAAAGCUAUCUGUAUUUGCCAUAAUCUUAUUUGUAGAAAAUCUUAAUGAAUCCACAAAAAAAUUAGGAAAGCUGGUAAUCAAGUUCAGCAAAGUUGCA
This 641-nucleotide long non-coding RNA is filed under the name Homo sapiens (human). RNAcentral's name for it is "HSALNT0180515". The record is from RNAcentral. Lineage: Eukaryota; Metazoa; Chordata; Mammalia; Primates; Hominidae.